Molecule: ribosomal RNA, 493 nt
Filed under: uncultured bacterium
Lineage: Bacteria
Description: bacterial SSU rRNA
Rfam family: Bacterial small subunit ribosomal RNA
Source: RNAcentral
ACGAACGCUGGCGGCGUGCCUAACACAUGCAAGUCGAGCGGAGAUGAUGUGAGGAAGUUUUCGGAUGGAAUCACAUUAUUUAGCGGCGACGGGUGAGUAACGCGUGAGCGACCAACCUUGCACAGGGGGAUAACGGACCGAAAGGUUCACUAAUACCGCAUGAGACCACGGUGUUGCAUGACACAGAGGUCAAAGGAGAGAUCCGGUGCAAGACGGGCUCGCGUCCGAUUAGGUAGUUGGAGGGUAACGCCCACCAAGCCUAUGAUCGGUAGCCGACCUGAGAGGGUGAUCGGCCACAUUGGAACUGAGAUACGGUCCAAACUCCUACGGGAGGCAGCAGUGGGGAAUAUUGGGCAAUGGGGGGAAAAACCCCCUGACCCAGCAACGCCGCGUGAAGGAAGAAGGUUUUCGGAUUGUAAACUUCUGUCCUUGGUGAAGAGAAGAAGACGGUAGCCAAGGAGGAAGCCCCGGCUAACUACGUGCCAGCCGCUGC